AUGUGUUCUUGCUUCACAGCAGUUUUGUCAUGGGAAUUUAUGAUAAGGAGUCAAGGACGUUAACAAAUAACAGGGGGAGUUUAGCAUAAACUCGUUCUUAUAAGAAGCGUUGAGAAUUUCUAGUACUCAAAGAUUAUUAAUCUUUUAUUGAAUUAACUACUCGUAGUGUCUUAAAAAACUUCCACUCUAAUAUUUUCUGAUCAAUACGGGAGUUAUUAUUCCAAACUGUAAAGUUUCAAGUUUCUUAUCCAGAAAUUCACCUUGCCUGUUCGUAAUUUGAUUCAACUCCCGUCAGAAAGAAAGCAAACGGGGCAAUUGCGCAAUUUGGAUCCAGUGGAGACGGGAUUCACAAUAGAAAACGAUUACUGGAUGGGUCAGCUUCAGCCUGUGAAUUUAGAUGUUUAGAAUUUUUACAUUUGAAAUAAAAAACUUCUAAAAAUGUAAAAAAUUCCAAGUCAACCGUUAUGUUUUCCAACUGUAACUGGAUUUUCCAAACUUUGGGGGGGGCGUUACGCCCCCCACGCCCCCUAUUAUUUACGUGCCUGGGGUUGCCCCCUUGCCCCCUCGCUACAAUACUGUGAAAACCUCCAGAAAAUGGUUAAAUGAAUGCAACUUUUCACAGUUGUCGUCCGACUCUUUCAAGAAAAGUUUUUUGAAUAGCAGAAAAAUACUUAGCGAGUUCCUAGAUAACUGUUGAUAUAAUGAGCAGGUAGUGCACCCACUAGCAUUAUCUCAUACAACAUUUACCCUGAAAAUGUCAAAAAACUCAGACUUUAUCACAACAAUGAUGUCGGGGUCUGCAAAUACAACUUUUGAGCUCACAGUUUACUCACGUGACUCCGUCUCAACGUGUCUUAUUCUCAAAACAAUAAAAAGCCCUUUUAAUGCAGUAUGAACAAUUGCGACUCAAACCGAGACAAAGAACGGAAGUCUUUUAAUUCAAAACCGAAAAGCUCAAAGGAAAUGACAGUGUACAUGGGAACAUAGCCUGUUUCUCUUCUCGAUAAUCACGAAACACGGCCUUGGCUGUAAACAGCGAUGUCUGACGAGGAAUUAUUCAUGUUUCUUGUGAAUGCCGUUCUAAUCUUGGAAAGACACAGACAGCUACGGCUUCGUAGACUUUGCUACAGUGCAUAUUUGAUGCAAACGCUUCGCAAUUUGCAGUUGCAGCGAGCAGCUUUACAAAACUUUGUCGGGCUUUAUCAAAGUCGCCAAGCCUGGGCAUUCAGCAGACAAAGUAGUGAAUUCCAAUCACAUUAUGACGCCGCAUUGAGGCUUGGGAGAAAUCAAGACCCUCAAUACUGGCUUUCUACUUUUCGCGUCAGCAAAGAAACUUUCGACUACUUGUGUGCCAUUGUUCAUGAUUACAUGGUUAAAGAGGAAUCCAACAUGCGCGAGACAAUUCCGGUACCAAAAAGGGUCGCUGUUUCCUUGCACUGGUUGGCACAUGGCGGCUCAUAUUGGAGUAACGGACAAAAGUUUGGUAUUUCUUCGUCUAUCGUUGGUCGAAUUACGAAAGACUUCAUCGCCGCCUUACUUAGCCUAAAGUAUAAUUAUAUAAUUUGGCCUAACAAAAGUGAUGAUUUUUUCGACUUAAUAUCAUCCUUCAAAGACAAAACCCCACUGCCAAACAUUUUUGGGGCAAUCGGAACGACUCAUGUACAAAUAAUUGCCCCUGAAAAUAAUACUUGCAGGUAUUUAGACAGAAAAUUGAACUAUAGCAUUGCUUGUCAAGGAAUUUGUGACGGAAAAAUGAAGUUUCUUAGUAUAUCGGCUGGCUUCCCAGGUUCCUUAAAAACAAAAGAGAUCAUCAAAAAUUCUCGGUUAUACUUGGAAGCAAGAAAAUGGAGCAUGUUUAGAGAGCCUGUUUUAGAACUGGGGAAAAACUUGGCUGUCAAGCCUUGCCUUGCAGGAGACGCAGCCUAUCCGGCAUUGGACUGGCUUUUGACCCCCUUUCCUGUCUCUGCGACUCUUGGUCCUGCGCAAGAGGCCUUCAACCAAGCACUAUCCAAAACAGCGAUACAAAUAAAGGGGGCGUUUGAGCUUCUUAAAGGGCGUUGGAGACUGUUGAAUGGGAAAGUCAAUCUGGAACCCUCCUUCGCCGCAGAUACAAUAAAUGCCUGCGCAGUUUUACACAAUAUCUGUCAGGAAAGAGACGAGCCCGGGGAAAUAGUUGUAGAUUCUUAUAUGGAAGUUGAUUGUAACGAUAUUGAAUGCGAAAUUGAAGGAAAAGAUAACUCAGAGGCAAGGGAUCUGCUUGUGAAAUGUUUAGAAAGCAUGGGAAAAAUCUGAUGUAAAGAACAAAGAGAUUUUACUGGAAGAUAAAAACAUUUAUCAACACACCAAUGCAACACUCUAGAUUUCAACGCCGCAAGAGUUAUGUUAGAGACAGUACAAGUGAGAACGUACCGGUAGCUUGAGGCGGCAUUUGGUGGGAAUGACCCCUCAUUCAACUCCACUAUCAAUUGUAUGAUAUUACGAUAAGAUAGCAUCUAUGUACGCGAAUCAAAAUAAGCAAGACGCUUUUUGCUGUUGAUAAGACGAGUAUAACGAAAUAGCAUCUGCUGGCCUCAACAGUAUGACUGCACCUGUGCAAGUCGAUAGCCAGCUUGCUCAUUGGGGAAAAACUUGUGGUAGUUAGAAAAUGUGCAUUACCUUCCACGAGCAAUGUUCGUUUCACUAUAAUUCUUCACCAGCCCCAAAUUACCCCCAUUGUUACUCUAAAUGUUACUCUAGAUCUAAGGUCGAAAAUUUGCACCCAAUUUGUGGAAAGCCUUGUCUAAUACUUGUGCCAGGUUGUGGGUCAGUUGGUAAAGCGCUUGACAACUGGACAUUUCAGAGUUCGAGCCCUCUCUACGCCAAAGCCAAAGAUCACCACCAGGCAGCAAAGCAAAAAUUGACGCUAAGAAAAGGGUACGGAGUACAGGAGAUUAUAGUCCACCCAAUGCACGAGAUUGUGAGCAAGUUAUCAACGAACAGGGCCUAUUCGUGGGAUUUCGAUAUAGCAUUGAUAAAACUGAACGAAAGCUUGCCAAAGCAAACGAAAGCUGAUGUCGUCGACAGUGAACGAACUAAUGUGACCGACUGCAAAUCAGCAGGUUGGGGAAGCUACAACGAAUUAGACUCCAUUUCAGAUGUUAGUAGAAAGAGUUACAAAAUAUCAGAAACAUUAAAAGAAAUACAAGUUCCUCUUAUACCUUGGAAAGCGUGUUACGACUUUCGUACGAAAAGCCAUGAGAAGUUUGCCCUUAUAAACUAUCAUGUUAUCUGCGGAGGAACAGUUGGUAUCGAGAAUGAGUAUCGAAAUGGAGGCUGUAUUGGUGACUCCGGCUCUCCUUUGCUGUGCAGCAGUACUAAGGGAAGAGUACUUUACGGCAUACUGUUAGGUGGAAACCCCUUCUGUAGGCAGGGUAUCGACUAUAUGAUAUUCACCAAGGUAGUACACUACAAAGCGUGGUUUUUGCGACAUAUAAAUGGAUAUCGCAAACAUUAAAAAUGUGGGACAUCUGGGAUAUCUUUCUGCUUACCACUUCAACCAUGGUUUUUCAAUAACUGUUCAAGUAAGAGUAGGGCCAGAAACUUUCUGACAAAGAGGCUCACUUGUCUAGUGGGAGAGGGUAAAAGGGGGAAGGGGCGAAAAUAUUCCUUUGAUAAAAGUUUUUGAACAGAGAUUGCAAAAUAAAGCUGCAAUUUUCUCUGAUGUGUCAGUUGACAUGCUCAGUAUUCCAAGGCACUUAAAGUGCAUUCAAGAUCUUUUAAACGAGUGGUUAAUAGAGUUCUCUAGUGUGACGUCACAAAAAGCUAUUUUUAGAAUUUUCGAAUUUUGAUCACAUAACACAAAAGAGCAUCAUAAAAUACUCCAAUUUAUGCAAAAUCAGUUAAAUUUGUCAAAAAUCGGGUGAGCCAUGGCCGAUAGAAUAUUUGAAGUUUGCCAACGGAUUACUGUUAUUUUGGCUCAGUUCCUAAAGUUAUCAAAUUACAGAGGUUUGAUUGGGCUAAAGAUUGUGCUCAUCAGGACAUAUUUCAGCCAAUUCGUGAUACCUUUAACUGAUUUUGCAGAUUAAGAGGUAUUUCAUGAUGCUCUUUCAGGUUAUGGGAAAAAAUUUCAAAAAUUUUCAAAAUAGACUUUUGUGACGUCAUCACUUGACAACUCUAUGAAGUAGCCUUGUUUUUCUUUCUUUUCUACCAGAACCCCCGCUUGAGAUGUUAAUACCAGGACCCCCUGAUUCAAAGCCCCGGUCAAACUUCUGAACACGUGUUAUGUUUGAGCUGAGUAAAAAGUUCAGUCGUUUGGCCAACUUGUUUAAUGUUGUUCAGCGCUGUAAAGUCUUCGGGUGGCAACAGUAGUUUCUAGGAUAGGAACUAGGAUUUGAAGGGGAUAGGGGGAAUAACAGUAUAGACAGUUUUAACAAGACUUAACGCACUUCUCACAGUUUAUGUUAAGUUAAUGAUCAACAUCUUUUGGUAGGUCGAAGAAAUGCAAGAAAUGAACCUAUCAUGAAUAUUUCCGAAUAUAACAUAUAACAUCAAAACACUUUUUGGUCCACAGUCCUCAGAACAUGAAACAUCGGUUCACUAUAAUGCACUAUUUUUUCGCUUUUUCUUGCUGCUUUACAUCUUUUCAUUUCGUUAGAUUUUUGGACUAUUUUAAACAGUCUAUUUCGAACACAUGGCAACUGUAUAGAGCCCAGCUUUCCUAUGAAGAAAAAUCAAGAAUUAAUAGCCAGAUGGAUGCAGUUUGUAACCAAUCUUUCCUGAGCCUCAAUAAACAUACAAAUUUUAAUAAUUGACACCUUAAACCACAGGCGAAGACACCAAUCCAACAAGUGAAUCCUACCUUUUUUUGAAAAAUUAUCUAUGUACUACAUUUUUGAUUAAGGACAAGAAUUUCAAUUAGUCCCGAAAUUUCUUCCCGGAGAAACAAAUAUAUUGCGGACAAUAAAUCUGGUUUCUAUCGUGUCCGCUAUUUAAAACUCUAAUAUUAUUCCUGAUUAUAUACCAUUCUACAAAGGAUUUCGCCUAUCUUAUGUACCAGGUUUAACAAACACUGGAUAAUCUUAACCGGGAAAAAAUUUAUUUCGGUCACAUUUCCAUGCUGAAAAGCUGGAGAUAAAAGGUAAAGAGCGUUAAAAAUCUUCUUGUUGAAACAAACAAUUUCUGUUUACAAUUUUUUAAAGUAUGUAUUCAAGCAUUUUAAUCUACUGUAAAAUGUAAUAAUGAAGUCCGAAUCAAGUAAUGCAAUUUAAUUUUUUGAGUUCUUUUAAAGCAAUCUUACAUGAAAGAAAGCAAUUGAAUGGUGUUUUACAGCAAAGAACAGUAUUCUUAUAGCAAAUAAAAGGAGAAAAGUACUGAAGCAUGGAUGUAGGAGUAGAGGCCUCUGGACCCCCAGGUUAUUCAGUAUUAAUAAAAAUCCACUUUUUCCGGAGAAAGUUUCUCUUUUGUAAGAAAAAAGUGUCCCUUUUUGUAAAGCCCCGGCCAAAUGACCCGAUUUUUCACUCGAUUUUUUAUUCAACAAGAAAUCGAGUAAAAAAUCAAGUCUUUUGGCCACCUUGUCGAGCGAGUCGAAUGGCGUUGAGUGAUGCCGAGCGAAGUUUGAUCUCUAUCAAAAAAGUCGAGUGACACAGGUGUUACCGAAUCGUUUGGCCACCUUGUCGAGUGAGCGCAUGCGCAUUUAUAUAUUCGAGAGCAAGGCCACCAAAAAGGGGCCGAAAAGCAUAUUACCGAGUGGCGUAGCGUGAGCGCAUAACUAAGGCAUACGGUAACAUAAAAUAUACGGCUAUGUUGAAUGAAUGUAAUCGUAAUUUUAAGCUUUUUAAAAAUACAAGCGGUAAUUAAUGAUAAUCGUGAUAACAAAUUUUGAUUUUAAAGUAACGAAAUGUUUGUACUCUAAUUCUAAUCAAUCAAGGUGUCUAUUCUCUGCAUCAGAGGCUCCGACACAGGUUAGAAAGUGGAGGGGGGCCAAGGGAAAAAUCAUCACCCAUGCGAAAAGUUUUUGAAAAAAGCUCAAUUGUUUUACAAAACUUUUCAGAAUAGCUCCUAGUGCUAAAACCGUUUCUUAAAAGAUCUCAUUCUUACUCAUAUUCCUCAAGAAAAAGCAUCACCUAAUGCCCACCAAAUGUAAGAAUCUUUUAUGCUAUAAUGCAGCAGAGGAUUCCCGCAAUGAGUAGCUCUCCACAUUGCGAAAUUGUUAACACACUGCAGAGCCUAGGCGCAGGGGCGAAACUGCUAGGGGGGUAUGGGGGGGGGGAUGCUGCACUCCCCAAUCUUCAAAAAAGCAGAUUUUGUCGGGCAAAUUUAUGGCUGCCAGUGUAUCUGUCGGGUAAAUAUGGAAAUUUUCUUUUGGUCGCACUUUUAUUGCCACUUUUUGCCCUAGCUUGGUUUUUUGAAUUUAUGGUCUUUCCCCCAUCUUUUUUUCAAUCUUCGCCCAGUUGGGAAAACAAAACAGAAACGAGGCAAGCACCUGCAACAUAUAUACAUUUCUGUCUUUCGUCCACCGAUCAGCGCUUUCGUCUCGAGCUCGACGCGCACAUGUUUAUCUUCGCCUCGAGAUGAAGUCUGAAGUAUUGAUCGACAGCAAAAGUAUAGACGGAAAGUAAAGUGUGUUUGAUGCAAGAAGGAAAUGAACACUGGACAUGCCCCCCUACCUUUUGCAAAACAAGAGAGCUUUUUUCAAAAUCUUUUGUUGUGAUUUCUAAAUUUUCCCUUGACAAGCCCCCCCCCAACUUCCAUCCUGCCUCGAAGCCCAUGGAACACUGACAAUUUUAAAGCAUUAUAAAUCAAAACAUGAAGGAUAUACCAUCUCGGAAUACGUUGUUGAGAAAAAUCAAGUAAUACUUUUUUAUCUAAAUGUAUGAAACUUUCAUCAAACAUUCAUAAAAAGUUUACCCUGGGUACCAGACUCAUUAUAUAAAGAAAUAGUGAGUCUGAUGCCCAGGGAAUAAGAAGUUAUGCCCUGAAAUUAUCUUAAGGUUUUACACUUACUGUCCGAAAGUAUUGCACCAUUCGCUAGAAAAUGGCUGUACAGCCGCCAAAGUCUUUUAACUAAAAAAUUCAAAUAACCGUAACAAGUGACAGAAGUUUUUAAUCAGUUCGAGCGGGAAAUAAUAGAAAAUUUUUCAACGAAUUGUAAUUGAGAUAUGAACUGCAAAAACUUUGAACUGAUUAAAAUCGAGUUUCUUCAAUUUCUGAACAAUAUCUAUGGUUACGAGAACACGACAAUUGAGCUUUGAUAAUAGGUGUACCUGUAAGAUACUUCCAAUAGGAAAACUUUUCUUUGCUUGAGGGAUUUUGUUAUGGUGAAUUCAGAGAUACUUAUUCAGUGCUUGGGUGUCUAAAAAUGUUGAAAUUCCGUCCAGAGCAACCGAAAGUUGAAAACCAAACAAAAAAAUACAACUGAAGCUCUUUUCUGUUGAAACAUUGUAGUCUGCGUACCUGUUACUAAACUCCGAAAUUUUCAAGAGGUGUUUUCUUGUUCCACUUUGACAAAAUUGAGGCCCUACUCAGUCUCUUUUUUGAAUUGCUCUCUUAAUAGCUAGGUGAUUUAGAAAGUGAAGACUAUAUUUCUUUUAUAGAAAAGACAGGCCUUACAAAUGCUUGCUUUUCGGAAACAAAUGUUUUUUAGCCAACACCAGAAAAACUAGAGGCAUAUUUCUUGACUUUAAACAAACAGCGUGUGUCUAAAGACCCUCUCUCGGGGUCCCCGAUGAUUUAAGCCCUUGAGGCGAUGUGCCCUAAAAAUGAAGUUCAUACAUGACACGCCCUUUCAUCAAGCAUGACACGCCCUUUCGU
Molecule: RNA transcript, 7788 nt
Organism: Rhopilema esculentum
Lineage: Eukaryota; Metazoa; Cnidaria; Scyphozoa; Rhizostomeae; Rhizostomatidae
Gene name: chymotrypsin-like elastase family member 1
Source: RefSeq, a predicted model, not a curated record